AUUGAACGCUGGCGGCAUGCCUUACACAUGCAAGUCGAACGGUAACGGGCCUUCGGGUGCCGACGAGUGGCGAGCGGGUGAGUAAUACAUCGGAACGUGCCCGAUCGUGGGGGAUAACGAGGCGAAAGCUUUGCUAAUACCGCAUACGAUCUACGGAUGAAAGCAGGGGACCGCAAGGCCUUGCGCGGACGGAGCGGCCGAUGGCAGAUUAGGUAGUUGGUGGGAUAAAAGCUUACCAAGCCGACGAUCUGUAGCUGGUCUGAGAGGAUGAUCAGCCACACUGGGACUGAGACACGGCCCAGACUCCUACGGGAGGCAACAGUGGGGAAUUUUGGACAAUGGGCGCAAGCCUGAUCCAGCCAUGCCGCGUGCAGGAUGAAGGCCUUCGGGUUGUAAACUGCUUUUGUACGGAACGAAAAGCCUUCUUUUAAUACAGGAGGGUCAUGACGGUACCGUAAGAAUAAGCACCGGCUAACUACGUG
RNAcentral lists this ribosomal RNA (482 nucleotides) under uncultured bacterium. Its description in RNAcentral is "partial 16S ribosomal RNA". It matches the Rfam family "Bacterial small subunit ribosomal RNA", at positions 30 to 507 of the family's 1533-position model. The record is from RNAcentral.